UUUUUAUUCGGACAUAAAAACAGGUUUUUAUUCGCUUAUAAAUGUAGAAUUGUCAUUUCCCAAGGUAGUAAAAGUCGGUUCCAAGCUUCUAAAUGCCUAAUGUAGUAUUUCUUGUUUGUCGAUACAGUUUUUCUAGUUUGACUGGUAUGCUGUGACUGUUAGAAACAGUAAAGUUUCCUUUUUUGAUUUUUUUGUUUUUUUUCGAAUAGUUCGAGUUCCUUCAGUGCCACCUCCCCACCUUUACAGGUCCAAUAUUCUAAGUAGGCCAUCGAAGUUUGCACCAUUUCCUCGUUUUUCUUUCUUUCUUUCUUUAAAAAAAAGUUUUUUUACUUACUUAUUCCUCAUUUUACAUUGUUAAUGUACUGUAUCAAAGAGAAUCUCCUACUAUUCGUUUCGCUUUUUUCCAUUUUGUUAAACGGUUUUAAAUCAUUUUCACUCAUUACAUCUUUUUAAAACCACUUCCUGAUGUUUCGUGUUUGGUAGGUUUAUUGCCGACUGGUUUCCUGAGAAUUUUAAGACCUAGAAAAAGACAGGAAAACAGAAAAAAAGUGAAACAUAAACCGAAUUGAUUAAGGAAAGUAAUAAAGUCUUCUCUGGGCGCUCGGCUGUCGGAUUUCGUAAACAAACUAUUAAAUGGAUUUUUUUUUUUUUGUCAUUAUUUUCGACUCAUCAACAAAAGCCGAAAAGAUUUUUAUGUACUCGUAACCCAUUCAUUUUUUAGAUCUGAAGAAAGUACCGCUACGCAACCUUGAUGAAAACAACAUUCCAAAACAUAUUCCAACCGACUUGACAAGCUGACUCGAACUGGUCAGAGGUUAGAUGAGAGAUUAAGAGGACUAUACUUGUUUCUUCCGGUUUUUUUAUGAUUUAUACAAUUAUUUUUCCAAGGAGAAACGGCUUUACCUCCUGCACUAGUUUUAGUAGUCAACGGAGUGGCCGGUCGAGGAAUCGGAUCCCCCGAAAAAGCCGAACUUAUCGAGAACGGUUAUCCGUGGUGCUAACAAUCUCUUUGUUAUAUAAAAAUGACAGUUUUGUAAUCUUAAUCGCAAUAAUUUCAAAGGAAACUCUCUAGACCGAAAGACCUUGCUGACAUCCGUUGCAUGAUGAGCUCGAUUGUUGAUAUUUCGGCUCUUAUCUCCAUCACAUUCUUACGUCAUCCACGAAUGUCGAUGCAUUGUGGCCAAUUUCCGUUUUUCCAAUCCCUUUGCCUAUUAUCUGGCAGAAGGUCUAGGCAAACUCCACCCUUUAUAACUUGUGCUAAAACUAUAGUAGUCGGUAAAUAUCGUUAUAUGGUUUGUGAUCUCAAGGUUUUCCAACAAUCCCAUCUUCGAGUUCUCGACAUUUAAUGAUUUCUGGAAUUAAAGGACAUCCUUGAAUAAUUGCUCGCACUGUCAAUUGUGAAAAUGAAAGAGAAAUUGUCGAGAAGAAUACAAAACUUUCAGUUCACUGUACUCCUAUUCGAGUGGGCAGUUAUGUAUGAUCGGUGGCUAAGUACAACGCCCACAGUCAUCGGAUUCCGUGUCCGCAAACGACUUUACUUGGUGGUAAACACUGUUGUGGGUGAACCCGGGGGUUGACAGACUUACAAGUGAAAGCGAAUGAUGAUCACUGCCUUUCUAAUCUGCCAUUUCCAAAAAUGGAGGACGUUCACCUUUCAAAUCGCCUUCUCUUACACCACUCCGGUAGGAAGUCGUAAAUGGUAAAUACCGCCCCGAUUCUUAAAAUUCUUUAUUUAUUCCGCCCAUAACUACCAUCAUCCCGUGAAAGAAACUCGAGAGUGAAACGAAUGCAGACAAAUAAAAUGUAAUGUAAACACCUAUACGGAUAUGCCAAUUAAAAGAUUUCGAUACGAACGACAUCAUCUCUGACCAAGAGGAAUGCGGUCCAACCAGGCCUGUUACGAUUGUCAUCGAAAAACUUAUCCAAAGAAUGAGGUCAAGGGAAAGCUCGUAGCCCUAGACCCUGAAGGUCGGUACGGAAGAUGUUCAAUUAAAAGCGAAAACAAUUAAGAUAAUAUCUGCCGAAUUCAAAAGGUUGCAAUAUCAGUUUUUCGGGCUCCACAACAACAACAGCUGGCUACACUGCAUCAUUUACCAACCCUUAAUCCUAUUAUUGGUUAUUUGACACGGUGGCUCUUGGCCAACUUUCCUCAAAAACCGGAAAUCUCGAUAAAAAAAAAUCGCAGUUUGAAUUUUUAGCAUUUUCGAAGUAAACACUGACUGGAGGAGAGACGUAUUGUGUGUGUGUCACAGUUGCAUAUAGAUCGACCUAAAUGGGAUUCGAGUCGUGUUUCGCAUUGUAGGCAAGAAGAAAAACAGACAAGACAACCAGCAAUUGUUUAAACUUUAUAGAAUAUAAUAACGUGCUCGUUGAUUCAUUUUUAUGUUUAGUUUUUUUCAAUAGUAGGUGGGUGGGGUGAGAAGAGUGAAAGCGGGUUGAGUGACCCUCUAAUGUUGUGUCUUUAUUAUUAUUAUUUUUUUAUCGCGUGAUCUUUGGAGGAAAAUGAAGAGUUUCUUAUAAUUUUAGAAGAAAAGCGUUAAAUUAACUCGAAACCGUAACAAGAGAUGGCGGCACUAACGAACCGGAUAACUGUUAAUGGGUAAUGCAGUAAAGAUAUCUUAUAAAGUUAGGAAAAACCCGUUGGGUGCGGCAGAAACGGGCGUCCUUAUUCUAAAUAUUUUAAUGGGGGAAACAAUGCCAGAGCGAAAAUGUGUGGAAUGUAACAAAAAUCGUCGAGAGUUGCGGGUGGUUCGUCACUCUGCAACUGGUUGGCAGGACAGAUAUGCAGUCGGAUAAACAAAUACGUGAAUUGGUUGGACAAAUACUGCCAACCUCCCGGCAGAAGGACAGCGUGGCCUUGAGAUGCGCGUCCGGGGAGUCGGGCGUUGCACCGCCAUUUUAAAUCCUCAAAAUAUAUAUUUUUAACCCUUAAGAAUUUAUGAACAUAUUUUUGUUUUCGAACGGUUAAACAAAUUUUCAUUUUUUUGUUUGUUUGUUUGUUUGGCACGCAAGUUUAGCGGUUUAGAAAAAUUCUAAUGGGCUUUAAGAGGUUCUAAAAAAAUUGGUGUCAACCAUUGUUAAACGCUGUAACGUCCCUUCAAUGAUCCGAUAGCCGCCUAUUGUUUACGUUGACUCUGACAAUAGCCAUGCCUUAAUUGUUCCAGUAAACUGCCCCUCAAUUGAUUAGCCAUCGAAACACUAAACUGUUUAAGUGUGCUCCACUUGUAAAGUUACCCAGCCCACCAGAUGAGAUCAUGCACCCCCAAAACAAACUUUUGUGUUUUUAAGUGUCAAAGAGGUCACUGGGAUUAGACCCUUUCUCUUUUUAUCCUUUCACCCUCUCGCUUUCUUUCUCCCUUGAGAAUAUUCCCUCGCCAUUAUGGUUAACAAUGCAAGUUUCGCAGUACAAAAAAAAACAAUAACAGGUAAUAAAAAUAAGUAAUUUCAAUACUUAAACAAUACCUGCAUUAAUUUAUUUAGGACCAUAUUCAAGAAUUAUUAAACAAAUGGGACCAAAUCGAUGACGAAAUAUGAG
This 3535-nucleotide long non-coding RNA is filed under the name Androctonus crassicauda. The record is from RNAcentral. Lineage: Eukaryota; Metazoa; Arthropoda; Arachnida; Scorpiones; Buthidae.